Molecule: long non-coding RNA, 1563 nt
Organism: Macaca mulatta (Rhesus monkey)
Lineage: Eukaryota; Metazoa; Chordata; Mammalia; Primates; Cercopithecidae
Source: RefSeq, a predicted model, not a curated record
AUAUUAAAGAUUUUAAAAAUCUAUCAAAAUGAUCAUGUGAUCUCUCUCUCUCCUUUUUCUGUUAAUAUGGUGAAUUACAUUUAUUCGGAAAUGUUAAACCACCUGUGUAUUUCUGGAAUAAAUCACAGUUCGUCAUAAUUUACAAUAAUUUCUAUAUAUGGCUGGAUUCAAUUGGCUCACAUUUUGUUUAGGAUUCUUAUAUUUAUGUUCAUGAGAAAGACAGUUUGUAAUUUUCUUUUCUGUAUUAUCCUUGCUUGGUUUUGAUAUUACCUUCCUUAUAUUUAUAAAAAGUCUCUGAGGAAAUCAUAAGAGCUACUUUAGGCAAAUUGCAAAAUUUUGGUGGAAAUUGAAGUUGGCUAUACUUUCAUAAUAAUGUAUGGGGAGCUCUGAUACUUCUGGGCUUUUCUUGCUCUGCUUUAAGUUCCCUACAUUUCAUGACUCGCUAUUCCUCAGUACUCGCUUCUUCUACACAACCUUUUGAAAAUUCUAAAUUUUCUAAAUUUCAUUUCACUUCUUGGCAGGGUGAAUUCAAUGGUCCACAGUAAUGGCUUCUGUCAAUAAUUACACCUUAUGCUGCUACUGUCUGCAGGAAUUGGCAUUAUGAGAAGUUAUAAAGAAGAAGAAAUUUGCUUCCCUAAAAGAGUUUAUAAUCUGGCUAUGGCCUUUGGCGAAGACAAUGACAGGCAAAUAUUUAUAAGCCAGAGAUUAGUUAUAAAUUUGAUCCAAUCAAAUGAUCAGUAAGCACAUUCUUAUUGCCAGUUGUUAUUAUCUCUUUAGGAAAGGCAUUGGAAACUUUCAUUUUGUUAAUUUCAAAUCAGACAAUUUCCCAGAACUAAUUGAGGUUCCAGUGUCCAAUGGAAAGCUGAAAGAACCUAAAUUUGCUUCUUUUCCUUCUUCACUCCUUUCUUUGUGUGUAUACAUAUUUGUGUAUGUGCACAAGUAUAAAGAAAUGAUUAUUUUUGCAGCUUUUGGCCUGAAUGCUUGUCACUCCAUUUUACAUAAUUCAUUUUAUAUAAUUCAAUUUAUGCUCUUCCAAAAAUAGAUGCUUCAGUUGCAAUCUUCGCCUCUUUAGAAUCUCCAUGCAAGCAAGCUUAGUUAAUAAUUUUUGAUUAAUAUAGCCAAAUACCAACUCCUACUUCAAACCCCCUUUACUUGGAAUACUAUCAUCAGCUUGGUUUACAGAGAGAAGGAAAUAACAAUGAGGUCAGGAGGAAUGGAGAUGGGGUAAAAUAGCAAUAAAAAGUAAUUAUAUAAAAAUGCUAAAGGUAUGACAUCUGUUUUUUUGCUUAGCUCACUGAGCUCGAUAGUUUCAGAUUUAUGCUAUUGUUCAUGUUUAAACAGAUACAAAAAAGGGAAAUGGGAAAGAAUGGUUAUGUGAGACUAUUAAAUAGUGCAGGGAAAAUACGAGUUGUUAUUACACUGGUAAGGAAAAGAGAAACUCAGUGAAAUUUCUUUCCAGAGAUUUGCCUUUGUGAUCUGCAAGGUGCUGUUCCCCUGCUUACAUUCCGUUACCCUGGCAACGCACUCCUGUAAAAUAAAGAUUAUUAAAGCGCAUAUGAUUAU